This is a non-coding RNA of Aphelenchus avenae, 67 nucleotides long. NCBI's taxonomy places the organism in Eukaryota, Metazoa, Nematoda, Chromadorea, Rhabditida, Aphelenchidae. The record is from the annotation of a GenBank genome assembly.
GGCCAAGUGGUCUAGUGGUAUGAUUCUCGCUUAGGGUGCGAGAGGUCCAUACAAAUGAGCAUUGCCC